AGUGAACGCUGGCGGUAGGCCUAACACAUGCAAGUCGAACGGCAGCACAGUAAGAGCUUGCUCUUACGGGUGGCGAGUGGCGGACGGGUGAGGAAUACAUCGGAAUCUACUUUUUUGUGGGGGAUAACGUAGGGAAACUUACGCUAAUACCGCAUACGACCUACGGGUGAAAGCAGGGGAUCUUCGGACCUUGCGCGAUUGAAUGAGCCGAUGUCGGAUUAGCUAGUUGGCGGGGUAAAGGCCCACCAAGGCGACGAUCCGUAGCUGGUCUGAGAGGAUGAUCAGUCACACUGGAACUGAGACACGGUCCAGACUCCUACGGGAGGCAGCAGUGGGGAAUAUUGGACAAUGGGCGCAAGCCUGAUCCAGCCAUACCGCGUGGGUGAAGAAGGCCUUCGGGUUGUAAAGCCCUUUUGUUGGGAAAGAAAAGCAGCAGGUUAAUACCCCGCUGUUCUGACGGUACCCAAAGAAUAAGCACCGGCUAACUUCGUG
This 492-nucleotide ribosomal RNA is filed under the name uncultured bacterium. Its description in RNAcentral is "partial 16S ribosomal RNA". It matches the Rfam family "Bacterial small subunit ribosomal RNA", at positions 29 to 507 of the family's 1533-position model. The record is from RNAcentral.